This 3764-nucleotide unclassified non-coding RNA is filed under the name Homarus americanus (American lobster). Its description in RNAcentral is "actin-related protein 2/3 complex subunit 1A-like, transcript variant X6". The record is from RNAcentral. Lineage: Eukaryota; Metazoa; Arthropoda; Malacostraca; Decapoda; Nephropidae.
GGGAAGCCAUGGCGUUGUUUACAUCCCGGGGCCCAGUAGCAGGUCCCAGCCUCUUCCUUCUCGGGUGAUUUCUAGAGUAAAUAAUUGAGAGAAGACUACAAGUGUGUCCCAUCCCUGAAUUGGGAGUUCCCUGCUUUGUGCUUUAAGUCAGGCCAACAGGUUGAGACUCAAGCUGUUUUGGUCACAAGUCAGGACUUGAGGAUGUUGACCAGAGUCCGCUAAUAUCCUUCAAUAUUUAGACACCUGCUCCAAGUGAUACGCCAUGACAGAAGUGUUCCGGUUCGGCCUCGUGCCCAUCGCUUGUCGUGCCCGGAAUGAGGACCGCAGCCAAGUGGCAUUGAGUCUCAACAACAAUGAAGUGAAUAUAUAUGGCAGAGCUGCAUCAGAGUGGAAGCUUCAGGAAACACUCCAGGGUCAUGAUCUGCGUGUCACAGGCAUUGACUGGGCUCCCAGCACCAAUCGCAUUGUUACAUGUGGAGCAGUGACCUUCCUGGAAAUUACCGAGACUUAGUGUGCUUUGAAAAAGUCUUCUGGAGAGUGGGUCCAGGACUUACACCUGCAAACUUCCUGUUUCUUGGGUUGAGAAAAGAUGUAUACUACUCCCACGAGGAAAGAGCGACUAUCUUUGAUUAUAUCGUCAAAACGAAGAGGUUUGGAGAGGUUAAAGACACAGUGUUUGGCAGGAUAUGGCCGAGGCCCAGACAUUGAGUGGGCAGUUUACAUCUUCCAUGUUAAAAAUGUGAUGAACAGUGUUCAUCUCUUGAGUGCCAACGGAAGUGUCAUAUUUACAAAGGUUAUGUAAUCCAAUGUUUUAUUUGUAGCUGUGGCAUUUAUUGGAAAUAUUGGUGUGAUUUCAAUAGAAAGUGUUCAGACUCUCACUUGAAGUAUUUUUCUAACUUGAAUUUAUAUUAUAUCACCUGAAUUGAGUGUUAUAUGAUUUCUCUUUGUGUGUAUUUAAUUAUUUUUGUUUCUUUUUCUAGUGACUUUAAUUGUGAUUUAACUAGAAAGGGUUUUAGUUCCCAUUUGAUGUCAGUUUAUGACAAGUGAAUUUAUUGAUAUAACAAAAGUUUAGUGUUAGAGAUUUUUCCAUAUGGCAUUUUUAAUCUGUUUCUUUAACUGAUAAUUUCAUUAAAGACUGCAAUACAAUUUCUUACAGUGUAGACUUAUAUGCAUUGUUAAUAAAUGUGCUAUAUGUAUUUGAGAACUAAUGCCUGUGUAUUUUCAGCAAAUGUGUUGAUUGGGUUGAGAACCCUGUGGUGACAUGGACGCCUCUAAGAAUGCAAUCUCUGAAACCAGAUACUAGUUGAAAUUACAUGUAAGGUCCACCAAGUGUUGAGUACAGCACAUAGUCCAGAUAAUUGAAAAGAGACAGUGAAUACUUGUCGAGUACCGAAAAUCGGCUUUUCUGUUAGUCAUUCCUGAAAUGAAGAGUGAUAUUUUCAUGGGACAUUCUUGUCAAGUAUCAUCACUUAAUGUUUUAGCAUUACUCUGAGUACCUUGUGAAGUGAAACUUCUGUGUUGUUUUCUUUAGAGAGCGUUAAUUUUUUUGUGUGACAGUCUCCGAUACUAUUACCAAUAAUUUUCAUGAUUAUAAUUUAAGAAGUAUUCUAUGCAAGUUUGUGUUAAUGUUUACCCCCCGUGUCUUGAAGGGUGUUAAUUGAGUUUAUCUUUGGUGGGGUAGUUUUGUAGAAGUUUUGUUGGGACAUCAACGCAUGAUGAUCACAGUAGUUGUUAAUAAGUUGCAACUCGUAUGCAAAGAAGACUGAGAAAGCUAGUGGUUGUCAUGGCUACUAGAAUUUGGGUGUUUGAGAAGGGAGAAGGUCAGAUCUUACGUCUCGGGUUUACCCAUCGCUAUUUCAAACAACAUCCAGAAAUAUGCGUGAGCGUCAAUUCGGAUUCAUGUAUAUAUGUUCCUUUUAGUAACGUAACCUCGAAAGCAGUUUGUUUGCUCACCGGUACAAUACUUGGAUAGUAUGAGCUAAUCCCGGAGCGAGAAAUUUCUUAUUUAGAUACUGCAGGGACCAAUCUAGGGAACAUUCCACAAGUAUAUGAUGAAUUAUGUAAAGUCAGUCAAGCAAAUGAAAUCUCCUUAUAUGCACCCCAUUACUUGGCGAUCCAGCUUGAACAGAAUAGGCCCAGUACCUUGAAAGUCAUUCCAGUAGAUGAUAAUAAUGCUUCCCCCCACUUCUUGUGUGAUCUGUAAUGGCAUACCAACAUCUUCCAUCAAUAACGUAAGGCUUAUUCAGGGGAUUUCGAACAGCAUGAUACCAUAUUGUGAUGAAGUAAAUAUGGGAAACACUAGACCCAAGAAGUUGAAAGAACUGAUUAGAAAUCAACCUUGGCCGCAUUUGACUAGAGAUAUGUGCAAGAUGUUGGAGGGUGUAAUGUGGAUCACACUGCUUUGUUUGUGUUAGGACCUCGGGAAAUAGGUACCAUGGUGGGGCAUCCCGCUAAUAUCCAACUAGCCAACGAUAACCCCAUUGGAGGGCCACAGUACCGACACCCUGAAAAGGCUAAGGAUGUCAUUAAAGGCAUGAUCACCGACAUGCACGACAGACAUAUCAUCGAACCAUCAACCGCUGUUUGGUUGUCUCCCAUUGUUUUAGUCACUAAACCCAAUGGUUCCAAACGCAUGUGUUUAGAUUUCCGAGCGGUAAACCAACAUUUGAAAGUAGAUAUACAACCCCUUCCCAGGUUAGAUGAAUUAGUAGGAAAAGCUGCCAGAAAUAAGUAUUAUGCUACUUUAGACUUGAGAGACGCAAAUUAUUAAAGUAAUACUUAACGACAAAAGUCGAGACCUAACCCCAUUUAGUGAUGGAAUAUAACUCAUGAAAGUUUAUACACUUAUCUUUUGGGCUUUUUCAGCCAGUCCCGUUAUUCUUUUUAUUUUACCAGAGAAGUAAACCUAGUGGUAGCCCCUUUUUGCAGCGAAGAACUGGGUGAGAAACUACCUCGAUGACGUGAUAGUGUGGGCUAAUGAUUUCACAACGUUGGUGGACAGGCUGGCCAGAGUGUUUGAUAGAUUCGUAGAAAUGGGAGUCAAGUUAAACUUAUUAAAGUGUCAGUCUGGUCAACAACAAGUGAAAUUUUUAGGGCAUGUAAUGUCAGAGAGAGGCAUUGAACCAGAUCCAGAGAAUGUCCGAGCUGUAUCAGAGUGUAAACCUAAACCCCCAAUUAAUGUGAAGCAAGUUCGCCGGUUUUUAGGAAUGUGUAGAUUCUACUGUAAACAUGUCCCCAACUUUGCCAAGAUAGCUUAUCCUAUCACCGAACUCACUAAAGCAAAUGUCACUUUCGGGUGGACUGAUAAAUGUCAGAGGUCCUUUGAUACGUUGAAACACGCCCUCACGUCAUUUCCAGUUCUCGUUAAAGCAGAUGCCGAUAAACCCUUUGAAUUGCACAGCGAUGCCAGUGACGUCUGUGUAGGAGCUUCCCUUGAUCAGGUGCAGACAGACGGCUCGUUACGUCUGGUAGGUUAUUUUUCCAGCAAAUUAAAACCCGCUGAGACUCGUUAUUCUACCACUGAUAAGGAAGCCCUCGGAAUUGUAUUAGCAUGCCGGUUUUUCCAUCAUUUUUUUGUGGGGCACACAAUUUACUAUCAAAACUGACCAUCAACCUCUGACCUCAGUCUUCAGGAAGAAGACUAAGAAUCAGAGAAUGAACAGGUGGAUGAUGAACAUCAACUGGUGGGUUUGCCAUCCAAGUUUGGCCAGUGUGAGACUUUUUGUGAAGGGAUUGUCAGUGUGUAGCCUGGGCCAGAGGAAUGA